UACAGAGGUCGCAAGCGUUGUUCGGAUUCAUUGGGCGUAAAGGGUGCGUAGGCGGCGCGGUAAGUCGGGUGUGAAAUCUUGGAGCUUAACUCCGAAACUGCAUUCGAUACUGCCGUGCUUGAGGACUGGAGAGGAGACUGGAAUUUACGGUGUAGCGGUGAGAUGCGUAGAUAUCGUAAGGAAGACCAGUGGCGAAGGCGGGUCUCUGGACAGUUCCUGACGCUGAGGCACGAAGGCCAGGGGAGCAAACGGG
Molecule: ribosomal RNA, 253 nt
Filed under: uncultured bacterium
Lineage: Bacteria
Description: partial 16S ribosomal RNA
Rfam family: Bacterial small subunit ribosomal RNA
Source: RNAcentral